CCUACGGGCGGCAGCAGUGGGGAAUAUUGGGCAAUGGGCGCAAGCCUGACCCAGCAACGCCGCGUGAAGGAAGAAGGCUUUCGGGUUGUAAACUUCUUUUGACAGGGAAGAGCAGAAGACGGUACCUGUCGAAUAAGCCACGGCUAACUACGUGCCAGCAGCCGCGGUAAUACGUAGGUGGCAAGCGUUGUCCGGAUUUACUGGGUGUAAAGGGCGUGUAGCCGGGCUGAGAAGACAGAUGUGAAACCCGGGGGCUAAACCCCCGAACUGCAUUUGAAACUGUUGGUCUUGUGUAUCGGAGAGGCAGGAGGAAUGCGUGGUGUAGCGGUGAAAUGCGUAGAUAUUA
RNAcentral lists this ribosomal RNA (346 nucleotides) under uncultured bacterium. Its description in RNAcentral is "partial 16S ribosomal RNA". It matches the Rfam family "Bacterial small subunit ribosomal RNA", at positions 338 to 699 of the family's 1533-position model. The record is from RNAcentral.